Molecule: ribosomal RNA, 1120 nt
Filed under: Salmonella enterica
Lineage: Bacteria; Pseudomonadati; Pseudomonadota; Gammaproteobacteria; Enterobacterales; Enterobacteriaceae
Also listed under: 1 other name
Description: partial 23S ribosomal RNA
Rfam family: Bacterial large subunit ribosomal RNA
Source: RNAcentral
AGACCCGAAACCCGGUGAUCUAGCCAUGGGCAGGUUGAAGGUUGGGUAACACUAACUGGAGGACCGAACCGACUAAUGUUGAAAAAUUAGCGGAUGACCUGUGGCUGGGGGUGAAAGGCCAAUCAAACCGGGAGAUAGCUGGUUCUCCCCGAAAGCUAUUUAGGUAGCGCCUCGUGAAUUCAUCUCCGGGGGUAGAGCACUGUUUCGGCUAGGGGGCCAUCCCGGCUUACCAACCCGAUGCAAACUGCGAAUACCGGAGAAUGUUAUCACGGGAGACACACGGCGGGUGCUAACGUCCGUCGUGAAGAGGGAAACAACCCAGACCGCCAGCUAAGGUCCCAAAGUCAUGGUUAAGUGGGAAACGAUGUGGGAAGGCCCAGACAGCCAGGAUGUUGGCUUAGAAGCAGCCAUCAUUUAAAGAAAGCGUAAUAGCUCACUGGUCGAGUCGGCCUGCGCGGAAGAUGUAACGGGGCUAAACCAUGCACCGAAGCUGCGGCAGCGAACGUAUCACCCAAGACAACUUUACGGAGUUGACGAUUGACGGAGCGAAGCGACGUCAAAGCGUUCAUUAAAGUCGAGUUGGCUUAGGGAUACGUUCGUUGGGUAGGGGAGCGUUCUGUAAGCCUGUGAAGGUGUGUCGUGAGGCAUGCUGGAGGUAUCAGAAGUGCGAAUGCUGACAUAAGUAACGAUAAAGCGGGUGAAAAGCCCGCUCGCCGGAAGACCAAGGGUUCCUGUCCAACGUUAAUCGGGGCAGGGUGAGUCGACCCCUAAGGCGAGGCCGAAAGGCGUAGUCGAUGGGAAACGGGUUAAUAUUCCCGUACUUGGUGUUACUGCGAAGGGGGGACGGAGAAGGCUAUGUUGGCCGGGCGACGGUUGUCCCGGUUUAAGCGUGUAGGUGUGUGUUCCAGGUAAAUCCGGUUCACUUUAACACUGAGGCGUGACGACGAGGCACUACGGUGCUGAAGCAACAAAUGCCCUGCUUCCAGGAAAAGCCUCUAAGCAUCAGGUAACACGAAAUCGUACCCCAAACCGACACAGGUGGUCAGGUAGAGAAUACCAAGGCGCUUGAGAGAACUCGGGUGAAGGAACUAGGCAAAAUGGUGCCGUAACUUCGGGAGAA